CACGUAGGGGGCAAGCGUUGCCCGGAUUUAUUGGGCGUAAAGGGCUCGUAGGCGGUUCGACAAGUCGGGUGUGAAACCUCCAGGCUCAACCUGGAGUCGCCGCUCGAAACUGUUGUGACUAGAGUCCGGUAGAGGAGCAUGGAAUUUGUGGUGUAGCGGUGGAAUGCGCAGAUAUCACAAGGAACACCAGUAGCGAAGGCGAUGCUCUGGGCCGGUACUGACGCUGAGGAGCGAAAGCAUGGGGAGCGAACAGG
Molecule: ribosomal RNA, 254 nt
Filed under: uncultured bacterium
Lineage: Bacteria
Description: partial 16S ribosomal RNA
Rfam family: Bacterial small subunit ribosomal RNA
Source: RNAcentral